This 330-nucleotide ribosomal RNA is filed under the name uncultured bacterium. Its description in RNAcentral is "bacterial SSU rRNA". It matches the Rfam family "Bacterial small subunit ribosomal RNA", at positions 568 to 898 of the family's 1533-position model. The record is from RNAcentral.
UCCGUAGGCGGUGCGGCAAGUCGGAAGUGAAAUCUCAGGGCUUAACCCUGAGGCUGCUUCCGGAACUGCCGUGCUGGAGUGCGAGAGAGGCGAGUGGAAUUGCAGGUGUAGCGGUGAAAUGCGUAGAUAUCUGCAGGAACAUCCGAGGCGAAAGCGGCUCGCUGGAUCGCAACUGACGCUGAGGGACGAAAGCUAGGGGAGCAAACAGGAUUAGAUACCCUGGUAGUCCUAGCCCUAAACGAUCAGGACUGGGCGUGGGCCUCGUACGGGGCUCGUGCCGCAGCUAACGCGUUAAGUCCUGCGCCUGGGGAGUACGGUCGCAAGGCUGAA